GGGGAAUAUUGCACAAUGGGCGCAAGCCUGAUGCAGCCACGCCGCGUGUAUGAAGAAGGCCUUCGGGUUGUAAAGUACUUUCAGCGAGGAGGAAGGCAUUGUGGUUAAUAACCACAGUGAUUGACGUUACUCGCAGAAGAAGCACCGGCUAACUCCGUGCCAGCAGCCGCGGUAAUACGGAGGGUGCAAGCGUUAAUCGGAAUUACUGGGCGUAAAGCGCACGCAGGCGGUCUGUCAAGUCGGAUGUGAAAUCCCCGGGCUCAACCUGGGAACUGCAUUCGAAACUGGCAGGCUAGAGUCUUGUAGAGGGGGGUAGAAUUCCAGGUGUAGCGGUGAAAUGCGUAGAGAUCUGGAGGAAUACCGGUGGCGAAGGCGGUCCCCUGGACAAAGACUGACGCUCAGGUGCGAAAGCGUGGGGAGCAAAC
RNAcentral lists this ribosomal RNA (425 nucleotides) under uncultured bacterium. Its description in RNAcentral is "bacterial SSU rRNA". It matches the Rfam family "Bacterial small subunit ribosomal RNA", at positions 356 to 773 of the family's 1533-position model. The record is from RNAcentral.